GGACGUGAGGGUGAUCUGGCUGCGACAUUUGUCACCACAUUCAUCCCCAGGGUUGAUUUGACUGAUCUGGCUGGUUAGGUGGGUGGCCCUUUCCUUCUACACAGCUCCAUGUGCAUUCCUCCUGGAGCUGUGUGCUUGGUCAAAGAAGACGAUCUUCCCCAGUAGAGGAGGACCUUUCCUGGUUCACAGGUCUAUAAGUAGCUCCUGCUAGAACUUCCAAACAAGGUUCAUUUGUAGGAAAAUACAAAGCAGUCAAACCUCCCGGACUCCACAUCCAAAAUGAGGUGUUGCAUUUGGCAGUCUCUGCUUU
Molecule: unclassified non-coding RNA, 310 nt
Organism: Colobus angolensis palliatus
Lineage: Eukaryota; Metazoa; Chordata; Mammalia; Primates; Cercopithecidae
Gene: 7SK
Rfam family: 7SK RNA
About the family: 7SK was discovered as an abundant small nuclear RNA in the mid-70s but a possible function has only recently been suggested.
Source: Ensembl